UACGAAGGGGGCUAGCGUUGCUCGGAAUCACCGGGCGUAAAGCGCACGUAGGCGGCCUCUUAAGUCGGUGGUGAAAUCCUGGAGCUCAACUCCAGAACUGCCUUCGAUACUGGGAGUCUCGAGUCCGGGAGAGGUGAGUGGAACUGCGAGUGUAGAGGUGAAAUUCGUAGAUAUUCGCAAGAACACCAGUGGCGAAGGCGGCUCACUGGCCCGGUACUGACGCUGAGGUGCGAAAGCGUGGGGAGCAAACAGG
This 253-nucleotide ribosomal RNA is filed under the name uncultured bacterium. RNAcentral's name for it is "partial 16S ribosomal RNA". It matches the Rfam family "Bacterial small subunit ribosomal RNA", at positions 524 to 776 of the family's 1533-position model. The record is from RNAcentral.